Molecule: ribosomal RNA, 326 nt
Filed under: uncultured eukaryote
Lineage: Eukaryota
Description: partial 18S ribosomal RNA
Rfam family: Eukaryotic small subunit ribosomal RNA
Source: RNAcentral
CCCUUAGAUGUUCUGGGCCGCACGCGCGCUACACUGAUGCAUUCAACAAGCCUAGCCUUGACCGAGAGGUCCGGGUAAUCUUUGAAACUGCAUCGUGAUGGGGCUAGAUUAUUGCAAUUAUUAAUCUUCAACGAGGAAUGCCUAGUAAGCGUGAUUCAUCAAAUCGCGUUGAUUACGUCCCUGCCCUUUGUACACACCGCCCGUCGCUCCUACCGAUUGAAUGUGUUGGUGAGGAGCUCGGAUUGGCAGCAGUUGGUGGUUCGCCACCGGCUAUUGCUGAGAAGUCCUCCAAACCGCCCCAUUUAGAGGAAGGAGAAGUCGUANCG